UCCCUUAUACAAGAACUUAAAAGUAUUAAACAAACAUUACGGAAUGAGUUCUCUAAAAGAAACAUGAGAAAUAAGAAAAAUAAUGGAAAAUAGAAAGUAUCUAGCAUCUACUCGGAAUCUUCUUGCAUAUCAGGCUUUGAAACUAGGUUCUCUUGAUCUGAAAUGAUUAAAUAAAGGUUGAGUUACAAGGAUAUCAUACUAUAUCACUGGCACAGAAGCAAAGAUUGGUAUAAAAUCAAAACAACUAAUAGAGUACUAAAUUUAGCAAAUUCGUUUAUCAAUCAUAAAAUCAUUUACAAUACAAUUACCAUUGUGGAAUUUAUGAAAACAACCUAUAGAGAUAAUAAUAUCAUACAGAUCAUAACUUCAUGCACAAUUAGGAACGUAGAACAUAUCGUAAAUUCAUAUUCAUUAACAAUAAUCAAAUCAU
Molecule: long non-coding RNA, 430 nt
Filed under: Carica papaya (papaya)
Lineage: Eukaryota; Viridiplantae; Streptophyta; Magnoliopsida; Brassicales; Caricaceae
Description: long non-coding RNA (CPAP_LNC011616)
Source: RNAcentral